UAUUGAAACACCAGUUCCCGUACGAUCACCGGAGUUAAGCAAUGUCGAACCUGGUUAAUACCUUGAUGGGUGAACACUUGGGAUUACCAGGUGCUGUAA
This is a non-coding RNA of Acanthosepion pharaonis, 99 nucleotides long. NCBI's taxonomy places the organism in Eukaryota, Metazoa, Mollusca, Cephalopoda, Sepiida, Sepiidae. The record is from the annotation of a GenBank genome assembly.